CGAGUCGGCCUGCGCGGAAGAUGUAACGGGGCUAAACCAUGCACCGAAGCUGCGGCAGCGACACUGUGUGUUGUUGGGUAGGGGAGCGUUCUGUAAGCCUGUGAAGGUGGCCUGUGAGGGUUGCUGGAGGUAUCAGAAGUGCGAAUGCUGACAUAAGUAACGAUAAAGCGGGUGAAAAGCCCGCUCGCCGGAAGACCAAGGGUUCCUGUCCAACGUUAAUCGGGGCAGGGUGAGUCGACCCCUAAGGCGAGGCCGAAAGGCGUAGUCGAUGGGAAACGGGUUAAUAUUCCCGUACUUGGUGUUACUGCGAAGGGGGGACGGAGAAGGCUAUGUUGGCCGGGCGACGGUUGUCCCGGUUUAAGCGUGUAGGUGUGUGUUCCAGGUAAAUCCGGUUCACUUUAACACUGAGGCGUGAUGACGAGGCACUACGGUGCUGAAGCAACAAAUGCCCUGCUUCCAGGAAAAGCCUCUAAGCAUCAGGUAACACGAAAUCGUACCCCAAACCGACACAGGUGGUCAGGUAGAGAAUACCAAGGCGCUUGAGAGAACUCGGGUGAAGGAACUAGGCAAAAUGGUGCCGUAACUUCGGGAGAAGGCACGCUGACACGUAGGUGAAGUGAUUUACUCAUGGAGCUGAAGUCAGUCGAAGAUACCAGCUGGCUGCAACUGUUUAUUAAAAACACAGCACUGUGCAAACACGAAAGUGGACGUAUACGGUGUGACGCCUGCCCGGUGCCGGAAGGUUAAUUGAUGGGGUCAGCGCAAGCGAAGCUCCUGAUCGAAGCCCCGGUAAACGGCGGCCGUAACUAUAACGGUCCUAAGGUAGCGAAAUUCCUUGUCGGGUAAGUUCCGACCUGCACGAAUGGCGUAAUGAUGGCCAGGCUGUCUCCACCCGAGACUCAGUGAAAUUGAACUCGCUGUGAAGAUGCAGUGUACCCGCGGCAAGACGGAAAGACCCCGUGAACCUUUACUAUAGCUUGACACUGAACAUUGAGCCUUGAUGUGUAGGAUAGGUGGGAGGCUUUGAAGUGUGGACGCCAGUCUGCAUGGAGCCGACCUUGAAAUACCACCCUUUAAUGUUUGAUGUUCUAACGUGGACCCGUUACCCGGGUUGCGGACAGUGUCUGGUGGGUAGUUUGACUGGGGCGGUCUCCUCCUAAAGAGUAACGGAGGAGCACGAAGGUUGGCUAAUCCUGGUCGGACAUCAGGAGGUUAGUGCAAUGGCAUAAGCCAGCUUGACUGCGAGCGUGACGGCGCGAGCAGGUGCGAAAGCAGGUCAUAGUGAUCCGGUGGUUCUGAAUGGAAGGGCCAUCGCUCAACGGAUAAAAGGUACUCCGGGGAUAACAGGCUGAUACCGCCCAAGAGUUCAUAUCGACGGCGGUGUUUGGCACCUCGAUGUCGGCUCAUCACAUCCUGGGGCUGAAGUAGGUCCCAAGGGUAUGGCUGUUCGCCAUUUAAAGUGGUACGCGAGCUGGGUUUAGAACGUCGUGAGACAGUUCGGUCCCUAUCUGCCGUGGGCGCUGGAGAACUGAGGGGGGCUGCUCCUAGUACGAGAGGACCGGAGUGGACGCAUCACUGGUGUUCGGGUUGUCAUGCCAAUGGCACUGCCCGGUAGCUAAAUGCGGAAGAGAUAAGUGCUGAAAGCAUCUAAGCACGAAACUUGCCCCGA
RNAcentral lists this ribosomal RNA (1669 nucleotides) under Salmonella enterica. RNAcentral describes it as "partial 23S ribosomal RNA". It matches the Rfam family "Bacterial large subunit ribosomal RNA", at positions 1150 to 2802 of the family's 2925-position model. Lineage: Bacteria; Pseudomonadati; Pseudomonadota; Gammaproteobacteria; Enterobacterales; Enterobacteriaceae. The record is from RNAcentral.